RNAcentral lists this ribosomal RNA (793 nucleotides) under Cellulomonas pakistanensis. Its description in RNAcentral is "bacterial SSU rRNA". It matches the Rfam family "Bacterial small subunit ribosomal RNA", at positions 45 to 849 of the family's 1533-position model. Lineage: Bacteria; Bacillati; Actinomycetota; Actinomycetes; Micrococcales; Cellulomonadaceae. The record is from RNAcentral.
UGCUUACACAUGCAAGUCGAACGGUGAAGCCCAGCUUGCUGGGUGGAUCAGUGGCGAACGGGUGAGUAACACGUGAGUAACCUGCCCCUGACUCUGGGAUAAGCCUUGGAAACGAGGUCUAAUACCGGAUACGUGACGCUCAGGCAUCUGAUGCGUCUGGAAAGAUUUAUCGGUCAGGGAUGGACUCGCGGCCUAUCAGCUUGUUGGUGGGGUAACGGCCCACCAAGGCGACGACGGGUAGCCGGCCUGAGAGGGCGACCGGCCACACUGGGACUGAGACACGGCCCAGACUCCUACGGGAGGCAGCAGUGGGGAAUAUUGCACAAUGGGCGCAAGCCUGAUGCAGCGACGCCGCGUGAGGGAUGAAGGCCUUCGGGUUGUAAACCUCUUUCAGCAGGGAAGAAGCGCAAGUGACGGUACCUGCAGAAGAAGCGCCGGCUAACUACGUGCCAGCAGCCGCGGUAAUACGUAGGGCGCAAGCGUUGUCCGGAAUUAUUGGGCGUAAAGAGCUCGUAGGCGGUCUGUCGCGUCUGCUGUGAAAACUCGAGGCUCAACCUCGGGCUUGCAGUGGGUACGGGCAGACUAGAGUGCGGUAGGGGAGACUGGAAUUCCUGGUGUAGCGGUGGAAUGCGCAGAUAUCAGGAGGAACACCGAUGGCGAAGGCAGGUCUCUGGGCCGCAACUGACGCUGAGGAGCGAAAGCAUGGGGAGCGAACAGGAUUAGAUACCCUGGUAGUCCAUGCCGUAAACGUUGGGCACUAGGUGUGGGGCUCAUUCCACGAGUUCCGUGCCGC